RNAcentral lists this long non-coding RNA (380 nucleotides) under Eucalyptus grandis. RNAcentral describes it as "long non-coding RNA (EGRA_LNC005180)". Lineage: Eukaryota; Viridiplantae; Streptophyta; Magnoliopsida; Myrtales; Myrtaceae. The record is from RNAcentral.
UCCAGCUUUGGAUCAAUGGGUGUCCAUGAGUUCGUGCACAGGCAUUCCUUUGUGUCUAUGUGUCCAUGAGUUCGUGCACAGGCAUUCCUUUGUGUCUAUGUGCAUGCAAUUUGUCCAAAAGAAUGCUCUCACCACUUGAAAAAUCUAUAGCUUCUCUUAGAGCUGCAACUUCCAUCAUCCGCAGCACUCACCACACACGAGAGACCAUCUUCUGCACGCGUCACACUAUCCUCAAGAACCCGCGAACUUCAAUUGGGAAGUUGGUCAGGUUCUUCCUAAACCUUUGGUAGUUCAUCCGAUCGAGUGUGCAAGAAAGCUGAUUCGAACUUGUGAGAGAUUGCAAUGCGUUUUGUCAGCCUCGAUUUAAAUGUUGGAUUGGC